AGAAUUGAUCUGGUUCAGGACGAACGCUGGCGGCGUGCCUAAUACAUACAAGUGGAACGCAUGAUUGAUACUGUAGCUUGCUACACCAUUAAUCAUGAGUCGCGAACGGGUGAGUAACGCGUAGGUAACCUGCCUACUAGCGGGGGAUAACUAUUGGAAACGAUAGCUAAUACCGCAUAAGAGUUUUUAACACAUGUUAGAAAUUUAAAAGGAAGCAAUGCUUCACUAGUAGAUGGACCUGCGUUGUAUUAGCUAGUUGGUAAGGUAACGGCUUACCAAGGCGACGAUACAUAGCCGACCUGAGAGGGUGAUCGGCCACACUGGGACUGAGACACGGCCCAGACUCCUACGGGAGGCAGCAGUAGGGAAUCUUCGGCAAUGGGGGGAACCCUGACCGAGCAACGCCGCGUGAAGUGAAGAAGGUUUUCGGAUCGUAAAGCUCUGUUGUAAGAGAAGAACGUUGAGUAGAGUGGAAAGUUACUCAAGUGACGGUAUCUUACCAGAAAGGGACGGCUAACUACGUGCCAGCCGCCGC
This 535-nucleotide ribosomal RNA is filed under the name uncultured bacterium. RNAcentral's name for it is "bacterial SSU rRNA". It matches the Rfam family "Bacterial small subunit ribosomal RNA", at positions 8 to 518 of the family's 1533-position model. The record is from RNAcentral.